Unclassified non-coding RNA from Cavia porcellus (domestic guinea pig), 114 nucleotides. It matches the Rfam family "Y RNA". From Rfam's summary of the family: Y RNAs are components of the Ro ribonucleoprotein particle (Ro RNP), in association with Ro60 and La proteins. The Y RNAs and Ro60 and La proteins are well conserved, but the function of the Ro RNP is not known. In humans the RNA component can be one of four small RNAs -- hY1, hY3, hY4 and hY5. Lineage: Eukaryota; Metazoa; Chordata; Mammalia; Rodentia; Caviidae. The record is from Ensembl.
GGCUGUGCCGAAAGGUAGUGAGUUUAUCUUAAUCGAUUGUUCACAGUCAGUACAGAGUGAACUCCUUGUUCUACUCUUUCCCCCCUUCUCACUACUGCACUUGACUAGUCUUAA